RNAcentral lists this ribosomal RNA (399 nucleotides) under Triticum aestivum (bread wheat). RNAcentral's name for it is "partial small subunit ribosomal RNA". Lineage: Eukaryota; Viridiplantae; Streptophyta; Magnoliopsida; Poales; Poaceae. The record is from RNAcentral.
AUGCUAAGGACAAAGAUUGGCAAAAGCUCAAGACUCUUCGUUCAUAUUUUAGUGAUCCAAAAUCACAUUGAGUCCAUAAGAAAGCCAAUAAUAUUAAAAGGGGAUGAGGUGUUGCUUAAUGGUCAACUUGCUCAAGUGCUUAGUGAUAUUGCUCCAAAACCCUCAGCCACUUUCUCCAUCCAAAUAUGUCAAACCCCUAAUAUCCAACUUGGCCCCACCGAUUCUUUCUAUCCGGAGCCACCGAGUUCAUAUGACAUAGCCACUGUCAGAAACCCUAACAGUUCGGUCUCACCAAUACAGAUCUCGGUCUCACCGAGAUGGCCUUGUCAACUCUCUGUUAUCAGUUGCAAUUAUUUCGUUCUCACCGAAAUUGCAAUCGGUCUCAUCGAGAUGGCUUGA